Molecule: non-coding RNA, 92 nt
Filed under: Ethanoligenens harbinense YUAN-3
Lineage: Bacteria; Bacillati; Bacillota; Clostridia; Eubacteriales; Oscillospiraceae
Description: Staphylococcus sRNA 774
Rfam family: Staphylococcus sRNA 774
About the family: Northern blot transcript confirmed in exponentially growing and stationary cells in three cultivation media. Trans-encoded.
Source: Rfam by way of RNAcentral
AUUUAAGUAUUAAAAACAUUGACUUUUUAAAAUGAGCAUGCUAUACUAUUUAGGCACUCAAAAAUAGGAUAUCGCGGGAUGGAGCAGUCUGG